AGCUCCUCAGUUCCUUCUCCUUGUCUCUGACUCAGUCAGGAGGAUCAGGAGGAUCUAAGUCAGUGCUGGAGGUAUCACUUCCAGUUUGAGCAGGAUUUGAGUGUUGGAAGGCCUUUCUUCUCCUCUUAUCAUCUGGUCCUUUUCCUUGUAAGCCCCAGGGAAGAAGACAUGCUGUGGGCUCUAGCCCUACUUCUAGCCAUCCUGCCUCCUGGGAGCCAAACAUCCAGGUUGGAAAGGAGAAUGAUGUCAGUCACAAGUUCACCUGGGUCAUAUGUGCCAAUCACUUGUGAUUUACGUGAAGCAAGUACCUACAUCCACUGGUACCAAUUCAAGGAGGGGAAGGCCCCACGAUACCUUCUGUACUAUAAUCUUCUCAAUUUCAGUGUUGUGGUAGACUCAGGAAUCAUUUCAGAAAAAUAUGAUGCUAAUAAAGGCCCAGAUAGGAGAUGUAAAUUAGUAGUACGAAAUGUGGACGAAAGUGACUCUGCUGUGUAUUAUUGUGCCUACUGGACUCGCACAGUGGUUCAGACCUGCCUUUAUCUGUACUCAAAAUGUUGCUUUGACUGCUCCUAGUACACAGAUAGAGAUCAGCCCCUUCCUAUUUCCUGCCCCUGACCUCACUGUAAUCUGAACAAAGGGAAAACAUGAGCCCAAAGCUUAACUAUUGCCCUGUAUCUAUAACACUCCCACUAGCACUUAUAUCCUGCUCCCAUUUGCACCCCAAGACCAAACUCCCGUACUGCUAUCUCUCAUCCUUGGUCAAGCAUCCUGGCUGACAGCAUCAUUUUCUCAGCUCUCCUAGAGCCUGGUGGAGGCUCAUUCAAUCUGCUGAC
Non-coding RNA from Marmota flaviventris (yellow-bellied marmot), 833 nucleotides. The record is from the annotation of a RefSeq genome assembly. Lineage: Eukaryota; Metazoa; Chordata; Mammalia; Rodentia; Sciuridae.